Molecule: transfer RNA, 78 nt
Filed under: Candidatus Bathyarchaeota archaeon
Lineage: Archaea; Thermoproteati; Candidatus Bathyarchaeota
Also listed under: 3 other names
Description: tRNA-Ile
Rfam family: tRNA
About the family: Transfer RNA (tRNA) molecules are approximately 80 nucleotides in length. Their secondary structure includes four short double-helical elements and three loops (D, anti-codon, and T loops).
Source: RNAcentral
GGGCUUGUGGCUCAGUUUGGCUAGAGCGUUCGGCUGAUAACCGAAAGAUCGAGAGUUCGAAUCUCUCCAGGCCCACCA